GAGCGUGAGUUAUGUUAGCUUUGCAAAAGCUAAAAAGAAUUAUAUUAUGAUUCCAUGCUUU
RNAcentral lists this transfer RNA (61 nucleotides) under Taenia sp. MZH:127001. Its description in RNAcentral is "tRNA-Cys". Lineage: Eukaryota; Metazoa; Platyhelminthes; Cestoda; Cyclophyllidea; Taeniidae. The record is from RNAcentral.